GAUUAGAAUAUUGCACGAUGAAAGCACCGAAACUCGUCUGAUCUUCGAAGUUAAGCAACUGUGGGCAUGAUUAGUUCUUGGAUGGGCGACCACCUGGGAACCUUUGUGCUGUAGGCU
This 117-nucleotide ribosomal RNA is filed under the name Hofstenia miamia. The record is from RNAcentral. Lineage: Eukaryota; Metazoa; Xenacoelomorpha; Acoela; Hofsteniidae.